GUGCACUUUGGGGUACAUGUAUCUUUUUGAAUUAGUGGUCUUUUUCUUCAGUUUUUGUUUUUUUCUUAUCUGGAAGAUGAGUCUUAACAGGGCAAGUAGAAAUACACAAGGCUUCUUGAGGUCUAGAUUCCAAACUGACAUGCUGGCCCUUCUGCCUCAUUGCGUUGGCCAGGUUAUGUGACCAGGCCCAGAUUCCAGGGUUGGGAAAUAGACUCCACCUCUCUAGAGAAGUUGCAGAGUGGCAUGGUAAAGGCAUGGGUUCACACAGGUGGGGAAGGAUUGGGACCAUGAAUACCACCGUAGGAAUGACAGGAGUAUGCUUGAAAGUAGAAAUGAAGGAAUAUGCAGGAUGAAGAAGAAGGUGAAGUAAGGAGAAAGAUCAAUACCAUAGGUCAGAGAAUUAACCCUUGGAAAAAAGAAAGAAUACUUCUGGGAGUGGAAAGAGAGGAAUUUGAUUGAAUUAGAUUUAGCAAAUUAAAUUCAAGAUGCCCAGUAAAAUUUAAACUUCAGGUAAACAAUGAACAAGUUUUUAGUAUUAAGUAUGUUCUAUACAAUAUUUGGCUGGAGAAGGAAAUGGCAGAAUACUCCCGUAUUCUUGCCUGGGAAAUCCCACGGACAGAGGAGCCUGGCAGACUACAGUCCAUGGGGCUGCAAAGAUCCGGACAUGACUGAGGACUCACGGCAUGGCAUACAAUAUUUGAUAGGCUCUCGGUCUGCUAUUUUUAUUGGUGUAAAUACCACUUAAAUAUUUAUGUAAUGCAGUAUUUUGGACUCAUUUACCCUAAACUAUGUUUCCUUAUUUAUUUGAAAUUCAGAUAACUCCUGACAACCUACAUUUUGACAACCCUACUUUGGAUGAAUUUUCAGUAAAGCCAUGGUGACCAUGCUUGGGGAUUUUCAUAGUUUGAGUAAUUCCCCUGAGCUCUGCCACCCAGCAAGUUAAAGAGGACAAGAUUGCUCCCUGGGGAUUGUAGUUCUUGGAAGGUCAGCAGCUUGUUUUCAUGAGGUCUGCACCCUGACCUGGCCUACUGUUAGGAGCUGUUGUGUUGGUGGUUUAUGCUGUUUUUAGUUGUUUCUUCCAUCUUACACAGUUAUUUGUAUAUAAGGAUUUUUGAAAAGUAAAUGUCUUAUGGGACUGUUUUGCUUCUACAAAGAAAAAUUAAAACUGUUUGAAAGUAAUUACUUGUGUGUUUUAUGUUUCUCUUUUAAAAUAAAUGAAAGUAUUAAUUGAUGUUGCCUGGAAAGAAAAUGAAGACCAGAGAAAUGGCUAUGCUCUUGGUGUUUUAAAAUAAGUCGAAGUCCUGGGGAACACCAUCCCCUCAUCUUCCCUUCCUCUAAGUAUGGAUGUAGAGAAGGAGAGAGUCGGGUCCUCCUUAAUGAAGAUUCAUAUCCAUGAUGGGUCUUCAACAAAAGGAGCAGGAACUCAGAGGACCCUAGGAGUAUGAGGUGGGGGAUGGGAGUGCACGCUGUACAUUCCAUUCUGAAAUUAUUUACGGUUUCCGUUGCUAAGUGGAGUUUGUUUUUGUGCUUUUUUUUUUUUAAAGGACUUUUUAUUAAAAAAGAAAGUUUCACAAAUACUCUGUUGUAUCUAAAGUUUUCAUUUUACAGGCUUUUUUAAAGGAAGGCUUCUGGUUAUUUUCUUCUUUAAGUUUCUGGCAUAGUGGGAAAUUAUUUUUACCGGCUGAGAUAUGCCUAAGACAACAGGAAAAGAUUCCUGUCUACUAAAACGUAAAACUGGAGUAUACACAUGAGUACUAUACUGUAGAUAAGCUAAAGUCAGAUUGUUGGAAUAAUGUUUAUCGUGAACAUACAAGUAAUAUUAACCUUUUAGAGUGUCUGGGAAUGACAAAUGAAAGCAGGAAGAUGAGAUCCAAUGCUUUUGUCUUGCCAACUUGUCCUUUCACUGUUGCAAACUGACCUUACAUUCCUACUCUUCCAGGCUCUCAUCCUGGCAGCUCUGUAGGCCCCUAUCUUACAUCCCCUCUAGAGAAUGUGCAUGCUGGUGAGUGACUAGAGGGCAGGCCCCCAGCACUACUGAGCCUCAUUUUCCCAGAGGGAGUAAUGCCAGUAUCCUUAUAUACACAGAGAUCCACAUGUACUUUGUGAUGAGUCUGAUGAAGGUCCCACAGCAUGAUGUACCACAACUUCACUCCAACCCAUGUUUCCAGUAGAUGAAGAGGGUUCUACAGUGUGUCCUGUACUGAGCUAACAAGAAGAAUCGUGGGACUCUUGUAUACUUGAAGAGAAAUAUACUGUGAAAAAAAUUCGCUUCAGUCGUGUCCGACUCUGUUCGGCC
Long non-coding RNA from Capra hircus (goat), 2296 nucleotides. RefSeq lists it as uncharacterized. The transcript is spliced from 5 exons. The record is from RefSeq and is a predicted model, not a curated record. NCBI's taxonomy places the organism in Eukaryota, Metazoa, Chordata, Mammalia, Artiodactyla, Bovidae.